UACAGAGGUCUCAAGCGUUGUUCGGAUUCAUUGGGCGUAAAGGGUGCGUAGGCGGCGAAGCAAGUCAGGUGUGAAAUCCCGGGGCUCAACCCCGGAACUGCACUUGAUACUGCUUUGCUUGAGGACUGGAGAGGAGAUCGGAAUUCACGGUGUAGCAGUGAAAUGCGUAGAUAUCGUGAGGAAGGCCAGUGGCGAAGGCGGAUCUCUGGACAGUUCCUGACGCUGAGGCACGAAGGCCAGGGGAGCAAACGGG
This 253-nucleotide ribosomal RNA is filed under the name uncultured bacterium. Its description in RNAcentral is "partial 16S ribosomal RNA". It matches the Rfam family "Bacterial small subunit ribosomal RNA", at positions 524 to 776 of the family's 1533-position model. The record is from RNAcentral.